UACGGAAGGCAGCAGUGGGGAAUAUUGCACAAUGGGCGCAAGCCUGAUGCAGCCAUGCCGCGUGUAUGAAAAAGGCCUUCGGGUUGUAAAGUACUUUCAGUCGUGAGGAAGGUGUUAAGGUUAAUAACCUUAGCAAUUGACGUUAGCGACAGAAGAAGCACCGGCUAACUCCGUGCCAGCAGCCGCGGUAAUACGGAGGGUGCGAGCGUUAAUCGGAAUUACUGGGCGUAAAGGGCACGCAGGCGGUUAAUUAAGUUGGAUGUGAAAUCCCCGGGCUUAACCUGGGAAUGGCAUUCAAGACUGGUUAGCUAGAGUCUUGUAGAGGGGGUAGAAUUCCAUGUGUAGCGGUGAAAUGCGUAGAGAUGUGGAGGAAUACCGGUGGCGAAGGCGGCCCCUGGACAAAGACUGACGCUCAUGUGCGGAAGCGUGGGGAGCAAACAGGGAUUAGAUACCCGU
RNAcentral lists this ribosomal RNA (456 nucleotides) under uncultured bacterium. RNAcentral describes it as "bacterial SSU rRNA". It matches the Rfam family "Bacterial small subunit ribosomal RNA", at positions 340 to 789 of the family's 1533-position model. The record is from RNAcentral.